Molecule: ribosomal RNA, 292 nt
Filed under: Clostridioides difficile
Lineage: Bacteria; Bacillati; Bacillota; Clostridia; Peptostreptococcales; Peptostreptococcaceae
Description: partial 23S ribosomal RNA
Rfam family: Bacterial large subunit ribosomal RNA
Source: RNAcentral
GAAAGACCCACCACAGAAGGUAAUAGUCCUGUAUGUUAAACGAGAAGACUUCAGAUAUGAUCCAGAGUACCACGGGACACGUGAAACCCUGUGGGAAGCAGGAGGGACCACCCUCCAAGGCUAAAUACUACCUAGUGACCGAUAGCGUAUAGUACCGUGAGGGAAAGGUGAAAAGAACCCCGGGAGGGGAGUGAAAUAGAACCUGAAACCCUGCACUUACAAGCUGUGGAAGCACAUUUCUUGUGUGACCGCGUACUUUUUGUAGAACGGGCCAACGAGUUACGUUAAGUAG